GGCAGGGACUCCAGACAGGCUAACUGGAAAUGCACAUCCUCAGAGGGUCUGCACUUUUGAAAAAGUACAGCCUGCAGGAGGAAGGAAAACGUUAAUCUCGUCUUUUUAAAAACUUUCCGAUUCUCCUCCCAUUCUUAAGUACACACUGGGUGCUCUUGUGAUCUCUCAGAACUCCUAGGUUUAUCACCCUCUGCCUGUACUUUCUCAUGACUGCUACCGGAAUUGCCUAUUGGCUCUGUUCAACUACCCGCUCCUGGGACAGGGCUCAGUUUGCUGUGUUCUCUGCUGAGCAAUUUCGGGGCACACAAGAGGCAGUUCACCUGAAGACACAGGAAUGAAGUGCCAGAACGAAAAGACUAAGAAAUGAAAACGCUGACAACUGUCAGAGGCGAGCGAGUUCUGAUGGAGCCAGCAGAAGGAAAGGAUACUCCGUCAUCAGAAUGGGUAACUUUCUGAUUCAAGGUCACUUGCAAAGGUCACUCAGCCUCAAUUCAGUGAUCCAGUCAUCAGGAAUGACCCACCCGCUGGGCAGCUGGUGACACUAGGUCACCACUAAGCGGGGAGCACUUGGUGGGUGACACUGCACACCCACCUGCUCCCAGUGCUGACUUCCGGUCUCUCCGUCCUCCAUGUGAUGACCUUACAUGAUAAUCUUCUGUGGAUUUCUCAUCUGAAAUGCUUCCUAGGCCCUCUCCACUGCAUGUCCCCUCAGAGCCGAUUAAUGUACAGACCCUUCGCUCAGCGUGCUGACUCAGUGGACCAGUGGCUGAGAGCCGAACAGAAGCAUCGGUUCCUCUGAGCUGGUGACCAUUCCCACCCUCACGCUGAGCGAUGCUUGUUCACACAGUGGUCAGCACACUUGUUCUAAACAGCCAAACUGUCUGCAUCUGUACACCCCCUCCUGCAUUUACUAGCUACAACUCAAACCAGUGCUUCUAAACACUAAAUUACCUAUAAAUGAACUUGGCGGUUUAUUAAGACUCAGUAGGUCUGGGGCAGGGUCUGUUCUUCAUUUCCUACAAGUCCCCGAGUAAUGCCAGCGUUGUGAAAACAAACCAUUGCUGAUCCAUACUCAUUUUAAGAAAUACUAUGUGAAGUUCUGCUAUACUCAUUAGCCAGUGUGCCCAGAGAUUAUCUUUCAAAACUUUAGCAUAAUAUCUUGACCAGCUCACUGACACUGUCACAAUCAAAAUACAAAACUUUCUCAUCAACAAUGAUACCUCCAGUACAAUUCCAUAGACACAGGUUACUUCUCCCCUGUCCCUAGGUCCUUCUCAAACUUUGACAGUCACUCAUCUGUUGUGCAUUUCUAAAUUUUGUCAUUCCAAGAAUCCUAUACAAAUUGAAUCAUCUAGUAUGCGACAUUUUAGGGUCAGGUUUUUUAUAAACUCAUACACUUUGCUCUAGGUACCAAUAAUUAGUUCCUUUUCACAAGUGAGUACUAUUCCACAGUAUGGCUAUGCUACAGUACCCUUUUACCAUAGGAGACACAUUCGAAGACUCUAAGACACAUUCUAAGACUAGCAGGUGCUGCAAGGGGCAGAUGUUACUGAACCAUGCGUGCGGGGUUCUUCACCUACACAUACAUACCUAUGGUAAGUUCAAUUCAUAAAUUCGGCACAGUAAGAGUUUAACAGUAAUAACAAUUAGAACAGCAUAUUGUAAUGAAACUUAUUUAAAUUUUGUUAAUUAUUUCUGGACUUGUCCAUGUCAUUUUUUUUUGGACUCUGGUUGACUACAUGUAACUCGAACUACAUGGAGCAAAAGCCACUGAAAUUGUCCUCUGUGGUUUCUUAAACACUUUAAGAAUAAUGUGAAACCAGUCUUAAUACAUUUCACAAAGAAAUGUUUGGGGUCUGAUAUGCGGCCGUUACACUUUGGCUCUGUUAGGCUCAUUUGCUAAACCGCUGCGCCCAUUUGUGGAGCCACGUAGCCCUGGCGAUCAGCUUCCUGCUCGGGGAAUUGUGAAUAAAGCUGCUGCCAUAACAUCCGUGCACCGGUUUUCUGUGGGACCCUAAGUUUUUUUUCUUUGUGAUAAACCCCAGGAGUGGUCAUGGGAACUUUUCAUGUAUAUGCAUAUUUUUUAACUCUGUAUUUUCCAGAGUCACUGAACCAUUUCACACUCUCACGAGCGAUGUAUGAGGGAUCCAGUUUCUCCCUUUCUUCAGCAGCAUGUUGGGCUGGCUGCAUUUUUCACUUAGCAAUUCUGAUAAGUGUAUCACGAUGUCUUAAUGUGGUUUUAAUUUUCAUCUCCCUAGUGCUGAGUGAUGUCAAAUACCUUUUCAAGGGCUUAUUUACCAUCUUCAAACUCAAGAGAGAAAAGUCUCAUCACAUCUUUUCCCUAUUUUCUAAUUAUAUUUUUUGCCUUUAUACUAUCGAGUUUGAAGACUUCUUAUACAUUCUAGAAACUAGUCAUUGGUUAUGAGGUGUACAAUGUUUUUUUCUGGUCUUCAAUUUCCUUCCAUCCUUUUAAAACAGUCUCUACAGUGCAAGUUGCAAUGAACAAUUUUCCUUUUUCAGACUGUAUUUUUAAAGCUGAGUCUGAUAACUUGCUUACCUAGGCCUGGAAUUAAAUUCUCUCUGUCUUUUUUUCUUCUAAAGCUUUAUAGUUUUACGUAUUACAAUUAAGUUCAUGAUCUGUUUUGAGUUAAUGUUAAAGGUGUGCAUGGUAUGGCUAUGCAUCAAUACCCAAAGAUGAAUGUAAUUAUUAUAUAUUGUGUAUAGUAAUAUAAAAAAUGAA
Non-coding RNA from Heterocephalus glaber (naked mole-rat), 2740 nucleotides. The record is from RefSeq and is a predicted model, not a curated record. Lineage: Eukaryota; Metazoa; Chordata; Mammalia; Rodentia; Bathyergidae.